UCAGCUACCGUAGCUUCUCUAUGUACUCCAAAAGAGAAAGUAACAAACAAAGUUGAUGAAAACAUUCAGAAGCCGCAGAACUCAGGUGUUGCUGUGAAAGAUGAAGGGAAGUCAGUAUCAGUGAAAGGAGAUCAAGCUGGAACAGACAAAGUUGAUAAAAAGCGUCUAAAGCAGCAAAACUCAG
Misgurnus anguillicaudatus (oriental weatherfish) is the source of this 184-nucleotide non-coding RNA. The record is from RefSeq and is a predicted model, not a curated record. NCBI's taxonomy places the organism in Eukaryota, Metazoa, Chordata, Actinopteri, Cypriniformes, Cobitidae.